RNAcentral lists this non-coding RNA (177 nucleotides) under Ditylum brightwellii. Lineage: Eukaryota; Bacillariophyta; Thalassiosirophyceae; Lithodesmiales; Lithodesmiaceae. The record is from RNAcentral.
AUCUUUUUGAAAGACUCUUCGCCAGUAUCAAAAUGUGCAACGAAGCUGUAACCGCCUUCUGCUCACUGUUUGCAUGGUUUCUAUCAGGUGCUGCUGCAUUCAGCUGCUUCUUCAUUGAAGGCGAAUAUGAUGGCCCAUUUGGCACCAGUAGCAUUGGUUUUGGAUUUCUCGGCAUCA